Molecule: ribosomal RNA, 451 nt
Filed under: uncultured bacterium
Lineage: Bacteria
Description: bacterial SSU rRNA
Rfam family: Bacterial small subunit ribosomal RNA
Source: RNAcentral
ACUCCUACGGGAGGCAGCAGUGAGGAAUCUUGCGCAAUGGGGCAGCCAUCGACGCAGCGACGCCGCGUGCGGGAAGAAGGCCUUCGGGUCGUAAACCGCUUUUCUGGGGAGCGAGAAAGGAACGGUGACCCCCAGGAAUAAGUCCCCGGCUAACUACGUGCCAGCAGCCGCGGUAAAACGUAGGGGCGAAGCGUUAUCCGGAAUUACUGGGCGUAAAGGGCGUCUAGGCGGCCAUGCAAGUUCGGCGUGAAAGGUCCCGGCUCAACUGGGAACGCGCGUCGGAAACUGCAUGGCUAGAGUCUUGGAGGGUGUGUGGAAUUCCCGGUGGAGUGGUGGAAUGCGUUGAGAUCGGGAGGAACACCAGAAGCGAAGGCGGCACACUGGCCAAGCACUGACGCUGAAGCGCGACAGCGUGGGGAGCGAACGGGAUUAGAUACCCCGGUAGGCACUG